RNAcentral lists this small RNA (83 nucleotides) under Marmota monax (woodchuck). The record is from RNAcentral. Lineage: Eukaryota; Metazoa; Chordata; Mammalia; Rodentia; Sciuridae.
GCUGGGCGUGGUGGCACACGCCUGUAAUCCCAGCAGCUUGGGAGGCUGAGUCAGGAGGAUUGAAAGUUCAAAGCCAGCCUCAA